GUGGGGAAUAUUGGACAAUGGGCGCAAGCCUGAUCCAGCCAUGCCGCGUGAGUGAUGAAGGCCCUAGGGUUGUAAAGCUCUUUCACCGGUGAAGAUAAUGACGGUAACCGGAGAAGAAGCCCCGGCUAACUUCGUGCCAGCAGCCGCGGUAAUACGAAGGGGGCUAGCGUUGUUCGGAAUUACUGGGCGUAAAGCGCACGUAGGCGGACAUUUAAGUCAGGGGUGAAAUCCCGGGGCUCAACCCCGGAACUGCCUUUGAUACUGGGUGUCUGGAGUAUGGAAGAGGUAAGUGGAAGUCCGAGUGUAGAGGUGAAAUUCGUAGAUAUUCGGAGGAACACCAGUGGCGAAGGCGGCUUACUGGUCCAUUACUGACGCUGAGGUGCGAAAGCGUGGGGAGCAAACAGGAUUAGAAACCCUUGUAGUCC
RNAcentral lists this ribosomal RNA (425 nucleotides) under uncultured bacterium. RNAcentral's name for it is "partial 16S ribosomal RNA". It matches the Rfam family "Bacterial small subunit ribosomal RNA", at positions 354 to 796 of the family's 1533-position model. The record is from RNAcentral.